RNAcentral lists this ribosomal RNA (253 nucleotides) under uncultured bacterium. RNAcentral describes it as "partial 16S ribosomal RNA". It matches the Rfam family "Bacterial small subunit ribosomal RNA", at positions 524 to 776 of the family's 1533-position model. The record is from RNAcentral.
UACGUAGGGGGCUAGCGUUGUCCGGAUUUAUUGGGCGUAAAGAGCGCGUAGGCGGCCAGGUAGGUCUGCUGUGAAAACUCGAGGCUCAACCUCGAGACGUCGGCGGAAACCAUCUGGCUAGAGUCCGGAAGAGGAGAGUGGAAUUCCUGGUGUAGCGGUGAAAUGCGCAGAUAUUCGGAAGAACACCAGUGGCGAAGGCGACAUACUGGCUCAUUACUGACGCUGAGGCUCGAAAGCGUGGGGAGCAAACAGG